Molecule: unclassified non-coding RNA, 272 nt
Filed under: Hevea brasiliensis (rubber tree)
Lineage: Eukaryota; Viridiplantae; Streptophyta; Magnoliopsida; Malpighiales; Euphorbiaceae
Source: RNAcentral
UGCCUCAUUUUUGUGAUAGAAGACAUUGAAAUACAUCACAAAGUAUACAGUCAUCCAGCAUAUGGGAAGACAAUUUACAUUACAUCCCUAGAAAUAAUCACAGCACCAUCGCAGGAAGGGGAAAAGAUGUAACUGAAAAACUAUAAUCCCAGAACUUGUAAACUUUAUUCCUUACUCCACUCUUGAUGGUAAAACCAUAAGGGCAACCAAAAAAAAAAAUAAUAAUAAUAAUAAUGAACCAGAACAAAACUACCUAUCUUCUAAAGUAACUG